Solanum tuberosum (potato) is the source of this 104-nucleotide non-coding RNA. The record is from Rfam. Lineage: Eukaryota; Viridiplantae; Streptophyta; Magnoliopsida; Solanales; Solanaceae.
UUCUCCUUCGGAGACAACUGAUAAAAUUGGAACAAUACAGAGAAGAUUAGUGUGAUUCCUGUGCAAGAAUGACACCAACAAAUUGAGAAAUAGACUGGUGUUAC